RNAcentral lists this ribosomal RNA (460 nucleotides) under uncultured Diversispora. RNAcentral describes it as "SSU rRNA". It matches the Rfam family "Eukaryotic small subunit ribosomal RNA", at positions 569 to 1032 of the family's 1831-position model. Lineage: Eukaryota; Fungi; Glomeromycota; Glomeromycetes; Diversisporales; Diversisporaceae. The record is from RNAcentral.
AGCAGCCGCGGUAAUUCCAGCUCCAAUAGCGUAUAUUUAAGUUGUUGCAGUUAAAAAGCUCGUAGUUGAACUUCGGGGUUUACCCAUUGGUCAGGCUUAAUUGUCUGUACUGGUGAGAUAAAUCUCUACCUUCUGAGGAACUUUCAUGCCAUUUAUUUGGUGUGAUGGGAAAUCAGGACUGUUACUUUGAAAAAUUAGAGUGUUUAAAGCAGGCUAACGUCUGAAUACAUUAGCAUGGAAUAAUGAAAUAGGACGGACUGAUUCUAUUUCGUUGGUUUCUAGGAUCACCGUAAUGAUUAAUAGGGAUAGUUGGGGGCAUUAGUAUUCAAUUGUCAGAGGUGAAAUUCUUGGAUUUAUUGAAGACUAACUACUGCGAAAGCAUUUGCCAAGGAUGUUUUCAUUAAUCAAGAACGAAAGUUAGGGGAUCGAAGACGAUCAGAUACCGUCGUAGUCUUAACCA